GUCACUCUUUCUUUGUCCUUGACAUUUUGUCUGCUCAGCCAUUCAUUUUUACGCGUAGACUAGAUGGUUAAAUUAAAUUUGUGGCUUCAAAUGGUAAUGAUAUUUGCUACUGAAUGUUUUUAAACUGAGGUUAUUUUGGUUGGGCAAUAAUGUCUCAACCAUUAGCAAGUCUGAGGAUGCUUGCAUAUGUCCUGGACUAGAUCAACCAUUACAGCUCUCCAUUUGAUGUUCCUUACCUUUAAAUUUAAAUUUUGUGUGCUCAGCCAGUCAUUUUUAUGUGAAGACUUGAUGGCUAAAUUAAACUUGUGGCUUUUAGCGGUAAUGAUAUUUACCACUGAAUGGUUUUAAACUGAGGUUAUUUUGGUUGGGCAAUAAUGUCUCAACCAUUAGCA
RNAcentral lists this unclassified non-coding RNA (392 nucleotides) under Hevea brasiliensis (rubber tree). The record is from RNAcentral. Lineage: Eukaryota; Viridiplantae; Streptophyta; Magnoliopsida; Malpighiales; Euphorbiaceae.